This is a long non-coding RNA of Homo sapiens (human), 467 nucleotides long. The record is from Ensembl. NCBI's taxonomy places the organism in Eukaryota, Metazoa, Chordata, Mammalia, Primates, Hominidae.
AAGGCAACUGGCGGAGUGGCGGCUCCACCAGAGCCUGGGAGCUGCCCCCGCCCCCGAGCCGCGAGCCCCGCGCCGGGCCGGGGAGUCCCCGGCGCCACACGCCCCCACCACCCCCAUCUUAGCGCCCCCCACCCUCUAUGGAGACAUUUCAACCAGGGAGAAGGGAAGUCCUGCCCUUGCCCCUCGCCCCCGCCCUGCUCCUCCAACAGGGGAGACUUCUGUCCAAACCUUGGAAAGAAACGAGAUGCCAGGCCUAGCGCCUUCGGGGAUCCUCUCUGGACAAGGCCACAGGGUGAAAACACCAGCUGCCUCUCCUUCCCCAGCACAGUCUGGACCUGGGCGGACUUUUUGGAAAAGCUUCUGGAUGCCACGGACUCCACGACCAACCAACUAGGUUGCUGCUGCUUGCAAACAUCGCCUCCAUUGAAGGAUUCCUGCAGCCACCAGCUCUGGAACUUUCUGGAACC